RNAcentral lists this ribosomal RNA (408 nucleotides) under uncultured bacterium. RNAcentral describes it as "partial 16S ribosomal RNA". It matches the Rfam family "Bacterial small subunit ribosomal RNA", at positions 28 to 526 of the family's 1533-position model. The record is from RNAcentral.
GACGAACGCUGGCGGCGUGCCUAAUACAUGCAAGUCGAACGCAGUUUCGAACGGGUGAGUAACGCGUAGGUAACCUGCCUCAUAGCGGGGGAUAACUAUUGGAAACGAUAGCUAAUACCGCAUACUGUGAGAUGGACCUGCGUUGUAUUAGCUAGUGGGUGAGGUAAAGGCUCACCAAGGCGACGAUACAUAGCCGACCGGAGAGGGGGACCGGCCACACGGGAACGGGGACACGGCCCAGACUCCUACGGGAGGCAGAAGUGGGGAAUAUUGGACAAUGGACGAAAGCCGGACGAAGAAAGGCCGCGUAGGUGAAGAAGGUUUUCGGGUGGUAAAGUACGUUCGUAGGGGAGGCGGUAACUAAACAGAAAGGGACGGCUAACUACGUGCCAGCAGCCGCGGUAAUUC